Molecule: long non-coding RNA, 409 nt
Organism: Solanum dulcamara
Lineage: Eukaryota; Viridiplantae; Streptophyta; Magnoliopsida; Solanales; Solanaceae
Exons: 3
Source: RefSeq, a predicted model, not a curated record
GUCCGGUGGAGGUAUUCGAGUGCGGUUUCGGCAAUUGAGGUGGAUGCAUUCCUUAGUUUAUUUCAUAGAUACUAGUCGGGGUACCCCACGUGGCAGUUAAUAUUCUAGCGGAUUGUGUAUUCUCAGAUUAGUGGUGAGGUCCCAAAAUUCGGAUCGUCACUAGUCUAUCUUUAUUUUUCAGUCUUUUGUAUCAUUCAGAGACUUAUGUUGUAUCUUCAGAUUCGAACCUUGUAUUAGAUGCUCUUUAUACUUAUGACACCAGGUUUUGGGAUAAUUUCUUCAUUAUUUUUUUUUCUUUUUAUUUAAAUCGUGGCAUCACUUUCCCCUUUGGGAGUCUUGUAUGAGUUUUAUUUUUAGGGUUACACAUCAGAUUGAGUUUUGAGAUGUGUGCCAUCAUGACCUCAGUUUU